CCAGAUCAUUAGGCGAUCGCCUGCUACUUGUAGCAGGAGGAAAGUCCGGGCAGCAUAGAACGACGGCAGUUGCUAACCGCAACCGGGGGCGACCCUAGGGAAAGUGCCACAGAAACGAAACCGCUUUGCCCCUAAAGGACGAAGCAAGGGUGAAACGAGUAAGGUAAGAGCUUACAGCAGGGCGUGGUGACACGUCAUGGAGGUAAACCCUGCCGGCUGCAAGGUGAUCCGCAUCUGAGUUUACUCAGGGGCUGUUCGUCCAGCGGAUCGAUUUAACCCGCUCGAAUAUAACGGCAACGUUAUAUCUAGAUAGAUGAUCGUCCAUGACAGAACCCGGCUUACCGAUGCUCUGGUCAC
This 357-nucleotide RNase P RNA is filed under the name Candidatus Saccharimonadota bacterium. RNAcentral describes it as "Candidatus Saccharibacteria bacterium RNase P RNA component class A". It matches the Rfam family "Bacterial RNase P class A". From Rfam's summary of the family: Ribonuclease P (RNase P) is a ubiquitous endoribonuclease, found in archaea, bacteria and eukarya as well as chloroplasts and mitochondria. Its best characterised activity is the generation of mature 5'-ends of tRNAs by cleaving the 5'-leader elements of precursor-tRNAs. The record is from RNAcentral. Lineage: Bacteria; Candidatus Saccharimonadota.